CCUCCAGGAUUAAGUUCAGAAGGCACAAAGAGGACCAUCAAUCAAAAAUGACAAGAUAGAGACAGCCAGCGAGAGAGGGA
Ailuropoda melanoleuca (giant panda) is the source of this 80-nucleotide long non-coding RNA. RefSeq lists it as uncharacterized. The record is from RefSeq and is a predicted model, not a curated record. NCBI's taxonomy places the organism in Eukaryota, Metazoa, Chordata, Mammalia, Carnivora, Ursidae. The transcript has 3 exons.